CAGUCGCCACGGUAAUACGUAGGGCGCAAGCGUUGUCCGGAAUUAUUGGGCGUAAAGAGCUCGUAGGCGGUCUGUCGCGUCUGGUGUGAAAUCCCGAGGCUCAACCUCGGGCUUGCAUCGGGUACGGGCAGACUAGAGUGCGGUAGGGGAGACUGGAAUUCCUGGUGUAGCGGUGGAAUGCGCAGAUAUCAGGAGGAACACCGAUGGCGAAGGCAGGUCUCUGGGCCGCAACUGACGCUGAGGAGCGAAAGCAUGGGGAGCGAACAGGAUUAGAGACCCCAGUAGUCCCUGUCUCUUAUAC
RNAcentral lists this ribosomal RNA (301 nucleotides) under uncultured bacterium. RNAcentral's name for it is "partial 16S ribosomal RNA". It matches the Rfam family "Bacterial small subunit ribosomal RNA", at positions 509 to 807 of the family's 1533-position model. The record is from RNAcentral.